This 259-nucleotide unclassified non-coding RNA is filed under the name uncultured fungus. RNAcentral's name for it is "partial contains 5.8S ribosomal RNA, internal transcribed spacer 2, and large subunit ribosomal RNA". The stretch from base 1 to 52 matches the Rfam family "5.8S ribosomal RNA", at positions 103 to 154 of the family's 154-position model. The record is from RNAcentral. Lineage: Eukaryota; Fungi.
AACGCACAUUGCGCCCUUUGGUAUUCCGAAGGGCAUGUCUGUUCGAGCGUCAUAAAAACAAAAUCAAGCACAGCUUGGCAGUGGACGUCUCCGUCCCCCCUGGCGGGACGCGUCUUAAAGUUUUGAUGCGGUGGCUUCGGACCCCGAGCGUAGUAGAAUUAAACCCCGCUCCAGAGGGCUUCGAGUGCCUCCAGCUUCGAAAACCCAUCACUUUCAGAGAUUUGACCUCGGAUCAGAUAAGAAUACCCGCUGAACUUAA